GUCUAUGGCCAUGCCACCGAUCCUGUCUGAUCUUGAAAGCUAAGCAGGGUCGGGCCUGGUUAGUACUUGGAUGGGAGACUACCUAGGAAUGCCAGUGCUGUAGGCG
This 106-nucleotide ribosomal RNA is filed under the name Pteropus alecto (black flying fox). Lineage: Eukaryota; Metazoa; Chordata; Mammalia; Chiroptera; Pteropodidae. The record is from RNAcentral.